GUUAAAACUCAAAUGAAUUGACGGGGGCCCGCACAAGCGGUGGAGCAUGUGGUUUAAUUCGAUGCAACGCGAAGAACCUUACCUGGUCUUGACAUCCACAGAACUUUCCAGAGAUGGAUUGGUGCCUUCGGGAACUGUGAGACAGGUGCUGCAUGGCUGUCGUCAGCUCGUGUUGUGAAAUGUUGGGUUAAGUCCCGCAACGAGCGCAACCCUUAUCCUUUGUUGCCAGCGGUCC
RNAcentral lists this ribosomal RNA (235 nucleotides) under Escherichia coli. RNAcentral's name for it is "partial 16S ribosomal RNA". It matches the Rfam family "Bacterial small subunit ribosomal RNA", at positions 893 to 1127 of the family's 1533-position model. The record is from RNAcentral. Lineage: Bacteria; Pseudomonadati; Pseudomonadota; Gammaproteobacteria; Enterobacterales; Enterobacteriaceae.